Molecule: microRNA, 21 nt
Filed under: Mus musculus (house mouse)
Lineage: Eukaryota; Metazoa; Chordata; Mammalia; Rodentia; Muridae
Description: mmu-miR-487b-5p
Gene: mmu-miR-487b-5p
Source: miRBase by way of RNAcentral
UGGUUAUCCCUGUCCUCUUCG